UUCUUCACUCUGAAAAAUUAACUUUUGUUGGUUGCACGUCAAGUAACAAAGGUAAUACUUUUUUGUUGCUUCAUUGGCAUGGUUAGUUUUACAUCAUUUACUAAGUUGAAAGCAGUUGAGAUGUAUGCCUUAAUAUCUGUUGUUUUGUUGCGUGUUGCUAUUCCUUGAGGCCACUCCAAGAUGAUCGUUAUUUCUUAUGCAGACAAAUAAUUGCUGUAACAUGAUUACAUUUACUGAUUGGCGUAGCUGUACUUUUGGAUGGCAGUGUUCAUAGCUUAGUGGCAGUGUUUUAGAUGUCUUUUUUUCCUGUAUCCUAUUGGUGCCUUUGGAAAUUAAGAAUUACUUUCUUUUUAGGAUUCUUGCCGGAGGAGACGAACUUUUAUGGAUUCUUGCUGGAGGAGAUGAACUUUUAUGGUGUGUUUUUUCCCCUGUAUGCGUCGCUUCAGAUCAGGCUGAUGCUGUUGUUAUUAUGGAUGAGCUGUUGAAGGCCAAGGUUUUCCUUGUGAGAAUGCCAUAGGUACAAGAAAAGAUUGCCUGAAAGGUCUUUAUGGUUUAUUCUGCAAGGUUAGAGGCCUGCUGAGGCUAGCGUGAGGUCUGCUAUGGCAUCGAUGAUCUGGGUGUCAUGACUGUGAGGACUGCUCGCGCCUCUCCGCUCACAAACCGUGUGACAGAGUAAAUACUCUGGUCCACAACAAUUAGACCUUCCUCCCUCUCAGCUAUGGUAUUGCAGCACAACAAUCUCCUUCCACCUUCAUUUGUUGGGCUAGAGCGUUAGAAGACAUUCUAAUUUUCUAGCUAUAUUUUGCAAUGUUAGACUGGUCAAAUGUGUUUGUAUAUGGUCGCAGUGGCGUGAGCUUUUUCAUUACUUGAUCUGUUUAUUCAAACUCAAUUUUUCUGUUGUUGUGGAGAGGAGGAUCAUCUGCUCUUUCAUACAUAUUUAUUACCUUCACUAU
Triticum dicoccoides is the source of this 953-nucleotide long non-coding RNA. RefSeq lists it as uncharacterized. The transcript has 4 exons. NCBI's taxonomy places the organism in Eukaryota, Viridiplantae, Streptophyta, Magnoliopsida, Poales, Poaceae. The record is from RefSeq and is a predicted model, not a curated record.